UACGGGGGGGGCAAGCGUUGUUCGGAAUUACUGGGCGUAAAGGGCUCGUAGGUGGCCCACUAAGUCGGACGUGAAAUCCCUCGGCUUAACCGGGGAACUGCGUCUGAUACUGGAUGGCUUGAGUUCGGGAGAGGGAUGCGGAAUUCCAGGUGUAGCGGUGAAAUGCGUAGAUAUCUGGAGGAACACCUGUGGCGAAGGCGGCACCCUGGACCGACACUGACGCUGAGGAGCGAAAGCCAGGGGAGCAAACGGG
This 253-nucleotide ribosomal RNA is filed under the name uncultured bacterium. Its description in RNAcentral is "partial 16S ribosomal RNA". It matches the Rfam family "Bacterial small subunit ribosomal RNA", at positions 524 to 776 of the family's 1533-position model. The record is from RNAcentral.